ACGAACGCUGGCGGCGUGCUUAACACAUGCAAGUCGAACGGAAAGGCCCUGCUUUUGUGGGGUGCUCGAGUGGCGAACGGGUGAGUAACACGUGAGUAACCUGCCCUUGACUUUGGGAUAACUUCAGGAAACUGGGGCUAAUACCGGAUAGGAGCUCCUGCUGCAUGGUGGGGGUUGGAAAGUUUCGGCGGCUGGGGAUGGACUCGCGGCUUAUCAGCUUGUUGGUGGGGUAGUGGCUUACCAAGGCUUUGACGGGUAGCCGGCCUGAGAGGGUGACCGGCCACAUUGGGACUGAGAUACGGCCCAGACUCCUACGGGAGGCAGCAGUGGGGAAUAUUGCACAAUGGGCGGAAGCCUGAUGUAGCAACGCCGCGUGCGGGAUGACGGCCUUCGGGUUGUAAACCGCUUUCGCCUGUGACGAAGCGUGAGUGACGGUAAUGGGUAAAGAAGCACCGGCUAACUACGUG
Molecule: ribosomal RNA, 467 nt
Filed under: uncultured bacterium
Lineage: Bacteria
Description: partial 16S ribosomal RNA
Rfam family: Bacterial small subunit ribosomal RNA
Source: RNAcentral